This 467-nucleotide ribosomal RNA is filed under the name uncultured bacterium. RNAcentral's name for it is "partial 16S ribosomal RNA". It matches the Rfam family "Bacterial small subunit ribosomal RNA", at positions 28 to 507 of the family's 1533-position model. The record is from RNAcentral.
GAUGAACGCUGACAGAAUGCUUAACACAUGCAAGUCAACUUGAAUUUGGGUUUUUAACUUAGGUUUGGGUGGCGGACGGGUGAGUAACGCGUAAAGAACUUGCCUCACAGCUAGGGACAACAUUUGGAAACGAAUGCUAAUACCUAAUAUUAUGAUAAUAGGGCAUCCUAUAAUUAUGAAAGCUAUAAGCGCUGUGAGAGAGCUUUGCGUCCCAUUAGCUAGUUGGAGAGGUAACGGCUCACCAAGGCGACGAUGGGUAGCCGGCCUGAGAGGGUGAUCGGCCACAAGGGGACUGAGACACGGCCCUAACUCCUACGGGAGGCAGCAGUGGGGAAUAUUGGACAAUGGACCAAGAGUCUGAUCCAGCAAUUCUGUGUGCACGAUGAAGUUUUUCGGAAUGUAAAGUGCUUUCAGUUGGGAAGAAAGAAAUGACGGUACCAACAGAAGAAGUGACGGCUAAAUACGUG